Molecule: ribosomal RNA, 438 nt
Filed under: uncultured bacterium
Lineage: Bacteria
Description: partial 16S ribosomal RNA
Rfam family: Bacterial small subunit ribosomal RNA
Source: RNAcentral
CUACGGGUCGCAGCAGUGAGGAAUAUUGCACAAUGGGGGAACCCUGAUGCAGCAACGCCGCGUGGAGGAUGACGCAUUUCGGUGUGUAAACUCCUUUUAUAUGUCAAGAAAAUGACGGUAGCAUAUGAAUAAGCACCGGCUAACUCCGUGCCAGCAGCCGCGGUAAUACGGAGGGUGCAAGCGUUACUCGGAAUCACUGGGCGUAAAGGACGCGUAGGCGGGUUGGAAAGUCAGGUGUGAAAUCCUACAGCUUAACUGUAGAACUGCACUUGAAACUUCUAAUCUAGAGUAUGGGAGGGGGAGAUGGAAUUAGUGGUGUAGGGGUAAAAUCCGUAGAUAUCACUAGGAAUACCUAAAGCGAAGGCGAUCUCCUGGAACAUUACUGACGCUAAGGCGUGAAAGCGUGGGGAGCAAACAGGACUAGAUACCCUAGUAGUC